GGCGGCGUGCCUAACACAUGCAAGUCGUGCGGUCCAGCACUCAACUUGGGGAGUCAAGUGGCAGCAGAACCAACCUGAUAGCGUUUCGAGGACGACGGUUAGUACUGAUUGCGAGUGGCUCUUCGAGUUGAGUGCUGGAUAGCGGCGGACGGGUGAGUAAUGCGUGAACAAUCUACCUGCAAGACCGGGAUAACACCGGGAAACUGGUGCUAAUACCGGAUAAUCUCCCUGGGCGGCAUCGUUUGGGGAGGAAAGCCGGCCUCUGGAAUCAAGCUGGUGCUUGUGGAUGAGUUCACGUCCCAUUAGCUUGUUGGCGGGGUAACGGCCCACCAAGGCGACGAUGGGUAGCCGGCCUGAGAGGGUGGUCGGCCACACUGGGACUGAGACACGGCCCAGACUCCUACGGGAGGCAGCAGUGGGGAAUCUUCCGCAAUGGGCGCAAGCCUGACGGAGCG
Molecule: ribosomal RNA, 455 nt
Filed under: uncultured bacterium
Lineage: Bacteria
Description: bacterial SSU rRNA
Rfam family: Bacterial small subunit ribosomal RNA
Source: RNAcentral